UGGGGAAUUUUGGACAAUGGACGCAAGUCUGAUCCAGCCAUGCCGCGUGCGGGAAGAAGGCCUUCGGGUUGUAAACCGCUUUUGUCAGGGAAGAAACGAGUUUCUCUAAUACAGAGACUUAAUGACGGUACCUGAAGAAUAAGCACCGGCUAACUACGUGCCAGCAGCCGCGGUAAUACGUAGGGUGCGAGCGUUAAUCGGAAUUACUGGGCGUAAAGCGUGCGCAGGCGGUUAUACAAGACAGAUGUGAAAUCCCCGGGCUCAACCUAGGAACUGCCUUUGUGACUGCAUAGCUAGAGUACGGUAGAGGGGGAUGGAAUUCCGCGUGUAGCAGUGAAAUGCGUAGAUAUGCGGAGGAACACCGAUGGCGAAGGCAAUCCCCUGGACCUGUACUGACGCUCAUGCACGAAAGCGUGGGGAGCAAACA
This 427-nucleotide ribosomal RNA is filed under the name uncultured bacterium. RNAcentral describes it as "bacterial SSU rRNA". It matches the Rfam family "Bacterial small subunit ribosomal RNA", at positions 355 to 774 of the family's 1533-position model. The record is from RNAcentral.